GGUAAAAUGGCUGAGCUAGGGCAUUGAACUGUAAAUUCAAAGACAGAGAAUAACAUUUCUCUUUUUACCA
RNAcentral lists this transfer RNA (70 nucleotides) under Monodelphis domestica (gray short-tailed opossum). It matches the Rfam family "tRNA". Rfam says of the family: Transfer RNA (tRNA) molecules are approximately 80 nucleotides in length. The record is from Rfam by way of RNAcentral. Lineage: Eukaryota; Metazoa; Chordata; Mammalia; Didelphimorphia; Didelphidae.